UAGGGAAUCUUCGGCAAUGGACGAAAGUCUGAUCGAGCAACGCCGCGUGAGGGAAGAAGGUUUUCGGAUCGUAAAACUCUGUUGUUAGAGAAGAACAAGGACGUUAGUAACUGAACGUCGCCUGACGGUAUCUAACCAGAAAGCCACGGCUAACUACGUGCCAGCAGCCGCGGUUAUACGUAGGUGGCAAGCGUUGUCCGGAUUUAUUGGGCGUAAAGCGAGCGCAGGCGGUUUCUUAAGUCUGAUGUGAAAGCCCCCGGCUCAACCGGAGAGGGUCAUUGGAAACUGGAAGACUGGAGUGCAGAAGAGGAGAGUGGAAUUCCAGGUGUAGCGGUGAAAUGCGUAGAUAUAUGGAGGAACACCAGUGGCGAAGGCGGCUCUCUGGUCUGUAACUGACGCUGAGGCUCGAAAGCGUGGGGAGCAAACAGG
This 429-nucleotide ribosomal RNA is filed under the name Gemmatimonadota bacterium. Its description in RNAcentral is "Gemmatimonadetes bacterium partial 16S ribosomal RNA". It matches the Rfam family "Bacterial small subunit ribosomal RNA", at positions 355 to 776 of the family's 1533-position model. The record is from RNAcentral. Lineage: Bacteria; Pseudomonadati; Gemmatimonadota.